CUCAGGAAUACUGUUCCCUGGAUUUUGAAGGAAUAAUUAUUUUAAAAAAAAGUUGGAGAAGAUUAGAAAAAGAUCAAGAUAAGUAACAAUUUUUUAUAAUUCAAAAUAUUAUUGAGUAUAUGACUAAAAGUUAAUUAUUACAUAUGAUAAAUAUAGUAUUGGUAAUACUAGAUCAUUUCUUAAGCUAUGAUACUUAACAAUAUUUAUCUUGUUCAGAGGAAAAUAAAAACAGACACCUACUUCCCAUGUACAAAAAAAUUGGAUUCAACCAAGGGACUGCUCUUCUGAAAUUAACUUUUGAGAGACCUUGGAAUGAGCAUGUGUCCUCCACAAUAGUGGGUGUAGAUUUACUCAGAUUCAAUUAAAGCAGUUCAAAUUCUGGAUACACCAUUUUAUACAACAAAAUAUUUAACUUCUGUUUUUCAGUAUUUGCUGCUUUCUGUAAUUCUUUUAGGUAAGUUUUAUUUCUUUUUUCCAAAAAUGAAACUGAGUUAUUGAGUGCAUUGGGACAAGGCACUUAGAGCUAUAGUGUCAAAAGGCAUAAAUGGGGAUAACAAUACUGGGAGAAAAAUCCGUAGAAUUUGGGGGUCUGGUUUGGGCUUGUUGAGUAGGCUGGAAGUAAUGUGUUUAC
This 631-nucleotide long non-coding RNA is filed under the name Bos taurus (domestic cattle). RNAcentral's name for it is "long non-coding RNA NONBTAT011586". The record is from RNAcentral. Lineage: Eukaryota; Metazoa; Chordata; Mammalia; Artiodactyla; Bovidae.